CUUACACAUGCAAGUCGAACGGCAGCACGGGUGCUUGCACCUGGUGGCGAGUGGCGAACGGGUGAGUAAUACAUCGGAACAUGUCCUGUAGUGGGGGAUAGCCCGGCGAAAGCCGGAUUAAUACCGCAUACGAUCUACGGAUGAAAGCGGGGGACCUUCGGGCCUCGCGCUAUAGGGUUGGCCGAUGGCUGAUUAGCUAGUUGGUGGGGUAAAGGCCUACCAAGGCGACGAUCAGUAGCUGGUCUGAGAGGACGACCAGCCACACUGGGACUGAGACACGGCCCAGACUCCUACGGGAGGCAGCAGUGGGGAAUUUUGGACAAUGGGCGAAAGCCUGAUCCAGCAAUGCCGCGUGUGUGAAGAAGGCCUUCGGGUUGUAAAGCACUUUUGUCCGGAAAGAAAUCCUUGGUUCUAAUAUAGCCGGGGGAUGACGGUACCGGAAGAAUAAGCACCGGCUAACUACGUGCCAGCAGCCGCGGUAAUACGUAGGGUGCGAGCGUUAAUCGGAAUUACUGGGCGUAAAGCGUGCGCAGGCGGUUUGCUAAGACCGAUGUGAAAUCCCCGGGCUCAACCUGGGAACUGCAUUGGUGACUGGCAGGCUAGAGUAUGGCAGAGGGGGGUAGAAUUCCACGUGUAGCAGUGAAAUGCGUAGAGAUGUGGAGGAAU
Molecule: ribosomal RNA, 666 nt
Filed under: uncultured beta proteobacterium
Lineage: Bacteria; Pseudomonadati; Pseudomonadota; Betaproteobacteria
Description: bacterial SSU rRNA
Rfam family: Bacterial small subunit ribosomal RNA
Source: RNAcentral